GACGAACGCUGGCGGCGUGCUUAACACAUGCAAGUCGAACGGAAAGGCCUGCAGCUUGCUGCGGGUGCUCGAGUGGCGAACGGGUGAGUAACACGUGGGUGAUCUGCCUUGCACUUCGGGAUAAGCUUGGGAAACUGGGUCUAAUACCGGAUAGGACAGCUGUUUAGUGUCAGUUGUGGAGAGUUUUUUCGGUGCAAGAUGAGCUCGCGGCCUAUCAGCUUGUUGGUGGGGUAAUGGCCUACCAAGGCGGCGACGGGUAGCCGGCCUGAGAGGGUGGACGGCCACAUUGGGACUGAGACACGGCCCAGACUCCUACGGGAGGCAGCAGUGGGGAAUAUUGCACAAUGGGCGGAAGCCUGAUGCAGCGACGCCGCGUGGGGGAUGACGGCCUUCGGGUUGUAAACUCCUUUCACCAUCGACGAAGGGUUUCUGACGGUAGAUGGAGAAGAAGCACCGGCUAACUACGUGCCAGCAGCCGCGGUAAUACGUAGGGUGCGAGCGUUGUCCGGAAUUACUGGGCGUAAAGAGCUCGUAGGUGGUCUGUCGCGUCGUCUGUGAAAUUCCGGGGCUUAACUCCGGGCGUGCAGGCGAUACGGGCAUAACUUGAGUACUGUAGGGGAGACUGGAAUUCCUGGUGUAGCGGUGAAAUGCGCAGAUAUCAGGAGGAACACCGGUGGCGAAGGUGGGUCUCUGGGCAGUAACUGACGCUGAGGAGCGAAAGCAUGGGGAGCGAACAGGAUUAGAUACCCUGGUAGUCCAUGCCGUAAACGGUGGGCGCUAGGUGUGGGUUUCCUUCCACGGGAUCCGUGCCGUAGCUAACGCAUUAAGCGCCCCGCCUGGGGAGUACGGCCGCAAGGCUAAAACUCAAAGGAAUUGACGGGGGCCCGCACAAGCGGCGGAGCAUGUGGAUUAAUUCGAUGCAACGCGAAGAACCUUACCUGGGCUUGACAUAUACAGGAUCGCGCCAGAGAUGGUGUUUCCCUUGUGGCUUGUAUACAGGUGGUGCAUGGUUGUCGUCAGCUCGUGUCGUGAGAUGUUGGGUUAAGUCCCGCAACGAGCGCAACCCUUGUCUUAUGUUGCCAGCACGUUGUGGUGGGGACUCGUAAGAAACUGCCGGGGUUAACUCGGAGGAAGGUGGGGAUGACGUCAAAUCAUCAUGCCCCUUAUGUCCAGGGCUUCACACAUGCUACAAUGGUCGGUACAGUGGGUUGCCAGUCCGUGAGGGCGAGCUAAUCCCGCAAAGCCGGUCUCAGUUCGGAUCGGGGUCUGCAACUCGACCCCGUGAAGUCGGAGUCGCUAGUAAUCGCAGAUCAGCAACGCUGCGGUGAAUACGUUCCCGGGCC
This 1343-nucleotide ribosomal RNA is filed under the name uncultured bacterium. RNAcentral's name for it is "bacterial SSU rRNA". It matches the Rfam family "Bacterial small subunit ribosomal RNA", at positions 28 to 1380 of the family's 1533-position model. The record is from RNAcentral.